Molecule: long non-coding RNA, 651 nt
Filed under: Homo sapiens (human)
Lineage: Eukaryota; Metazoa; Chordata; Mammalia; Primates; Hominidae
Description: HSALNT0398123
Source: RNAcentral
CUAUUCUCAAGAGUGGCUGGUCAGAAUUUUAGCAGGAAAAAGUGAGUCACCCUGGGAAGGAAACAUUAUUUAGGGACCAACAACUGCCCCCUCCACAAGACCCCUCAACUCCUAAUAGCCUCUCUAUUCUUUCUUUGUAUUGGAUAUCUGUUUCCUCUCCUCCUUUCUGUUCUACCCAGUUUCUGGCUGCGGGUCCCAUUUCUGCCUGGGUGCAUCCCUGGGCAGGCAACCCAUCCCUCCCUCUUGCUUUCUCUCCUCUGCCCACCCUGGAUCCUUCUUUGGGCAUAAAUCUCAUCUUCUUCUGCUAUGCUCAGAAGAUGAAUGAACCAGGAGAGAGAGAACAUGUUUUUAAAAUGGCGCAAAUGCACCCCAUCUCCCCCGAUUCCUGCUGGCUGGGCAAGAUGUCAAGAUCCAGGAACUCCAAGACAUCAAGAUUUCACGAUUUUUAAGACGUCAAGAUGCUAGCAUGCUAACACCAUCACGGUUCUAGAACUUUAAAGGUGUCAAGAUUCUAAAGCCUUCUGGAUUCUAGAAUCCUGUAGAUGUCAGCAUUCUAAAGUACCAUCAGGUUCUUUAUUUACUGGAUUCAUUAGUUCCAGGAUUCUAUGAGCCUGGUGUUUAGCCUAAAAAAUAAAGAUAAAUUAAAAUUGA